GUCCGGAAGAAGUGGGUGGGAACAGGAACCAGGGAUGUCGUCAGAAGAAUCAUCAUAACCCUCUGCAUGGCAUUCUAGGCACAGCAAGGCAACCUUGGAACACUCUGCUUCUUGCCAUCAAAGAGAGAUUAUUUACGAUGGAUUUAUUUGUGGUGUAUCUCACUCAAUUCUGGAUCACUAUCACGCUCCAGGUAUUCCGUACAAGUCGGAAAGAAAACCGGCUCCGAUUAUUCCCUAACGAGGAAGUGUUUUAUCUUUUCUUUUCUUUUCUUUUUUCUUAAGGUUCGUUUCUUUCUUUUUUUCUUUGGCAUAUGUCGAUCGAUGGAGGCUGAAGCCUGAAAGGUUGAUUGAAUCGAGCGCAGAUCCUUUUAUGUAUUCAUUCUCUCUCUCGUCUGAUAUUAAAUCUCACGAUAGCGCAA
Molecule: small RNA, 419 nt
Filed under: Histoplasma capsulatum var. duboisii H88
Lineage: Eukaryota; Fungi; Ascomycota; Eurotiomycetes; Onygenales; Ajellomycetaceae
Description: Histoplasma capsulatum H88 hypothetical RNA
Source: RNAcentral